Apis cerana (Asiatic honeybee) is the source of this 664-nucleotide long non-coding RNA. RefSeq lists it as uncharacterized. NCBI's taxonomy places the organism in Eukaryota, Metazoa, Arthropoda, Insecta, Hymenoptera, Apidae. The record is from RefSeq and is a predicted model, not a curated record.
CAGAAUACAGUAGAUCCCCUUAUAGCUCGGGUUCAUAUAACACGGAUUCUUAUAACACGGUGAAAAAAUUACAACAAUAAUUAUUCGUACAAUAUAGUACAUAUUUUUAACAAAAUAUAAUAUCAAGUGUAUAAAAGUUGCAUUUUAAUAUUUUAAUAUGAUUUUUAAGAAAGUUUAAAAAAUAUAUAUCCUUAAAGCCCACGGUUGAAUACACUUUUUUCACUUAUAUGCUCUUCUUUCUAUUUCUAUUUUUUUCUUUUUUUCUCUUUACUACGUAUAUAACACAACGGACAACAUAGAAAAUGUUUCAUGGAAAAAAGUUAACCAUCCAACCAUGAUAAAAAACAAUGCAUCUCAACCUAUAGUGCAUCUACCUCGAAAUAAUUCUAUUAUUGGUCACAAACAAUGAAUAUGGCAAUCAAUGUCAAUAAAAUAUAUUUCAGAGAAAAUAUUAUUAUUCUGAUAGAAAUUAUUAUUAUUUCUGAUAUAAAUUAUCAAUUAAACUAUAUUUAAAGUCAAAUAUUUUAAAUAAAUUUAAAAAAAAUAUUAAUAUGCAUAAUUUAUAUGAAUAUUAUAUUAUAUUAUAUUUAGAUAGAAGAUAAAAAAGGGAUUUGUUGAUAAGACAUUGAAUGAGAAACGUCAUUGAAUUAAUUGAUAAUAAGAU